This 10160-nucleotide long non-coding RNA is filed under the name Lathyrus oleraceus (garden pea). RNAcentral describes it as "Pisum sativum (pea) long non-coding RNA (PSAT_LNC021934)". Lineage: Eukaryota; Viridiplantae; Streptophyta; Magnoliopsida; Fabales; Fabaceae. The record is from RNAcentral.
UUGAGACUAAGUGAUAAAGCUGUUUGGACUAAUUGGUGUGGAUCUUGUUGGAUUUUUGAUGCAUAGACAGAGAGAGAUUCAACACAAAGUGUUGGAUAUUGUGUUGUGCUACAUGAGGUUUUGAUGAAGUUUGUUGGUGUUGAUGUUGCUAUAGAGACAAGAGUUAUUAGAAGGAAAAGAAGGGAAACCAUGGUUGCCAUGUUUGGAGAGAGAGAGAGAGAGAGAGAGAGAGAGAGAGAGAGAAGAGAGAGAGAAGAGAGAGAGAGAGAGAGAGAGAGAGAGAGAGAGAGAGAGGUGUUAUUGUUUUGUGGUUGGUUGUGAUUUGUAAGAAUGAAUAAGGAUCUAGAUAUUAUAUAGAGAGAUAUAGUUGAGGGUUGUGGUUUGUUCUAUUCAUAGGAUCUGGUUUUGUCGAUGUUCUUUUGUUACAAACAUUGUAAGUCGGCAAUCAAAUAAUGAGGUUUUUUUUUUUAUAUUUAAAAACCAAGUUGUCGACAUACUAGUAUCUUCUUGUGAUUGUUAAAAUCUCCAAUAAUGCAAUUGAUUAUUUUUUUAUUUAAGUUUUUGUGAUGUUAGGGUCCACGUAGGAAAAAUCUGAGGAACAUUAUUGGAUUUUGGGAAGAAAAAUAUGGGAAUGCUUUUAUUACUUACAAAUCAUGUAGUGACAUGUAGUAUUGUUCCCUGAUGUUGUGUCUGAUUAAUGAUGUAAAUCAGAAUCAGUUUUGGUUGUAGUAUUGAUUGAGGGUUCUGUGCAUUCGUUUCAUGUGUCAAAAUAUUUGUGUAUACUAACGGAUUAGGAUUAGAUCAUCUCAGAUGUCCACUCAUGGGGAGAGAGAGUGUGUGAUUUAGAGAGGCUUGAAGAUUUAUCUUCAACAUCUCUUUUCUUUUCUUUAUUUAUGUAUUGUAAGGUUAUAUUGUUUUCUCGCGGAACAACCAUUGAUAGUGUAUGUGUCCGUAAUAAUUUAAAAUAUUCAAAUUUCAUAAAUUAUUAUACAUUUGAAUUCGAUCGGAGAUGUAUUUUCGUAAAUAUUUUGAAGAUAUAUUUUCGUAACGUCUCAAAACUUGGUUUUUCAUAUUAUAUUUUAUUUUUUUGUAUUCAAAUGAAGAUAUAAACCAUUUCAUAUAAUCGAAAAUAAAAAAUCUACGUACAUAAUUCCAGAUGGUCCAAAAAUGUCAUACAUAAAUAAAAUACCAAUAAAUAUAAAAAAUAUCAUACAAUCGAGACAAAUAAAGUAGUAAGAUCGUCAAAAUAAAAUACAGACCAUAGUACUACACUAUAUACUAACACACUAUUGUGUAUGUCUAACUACCUCUCAUCUGCCUCGUCUACCUCCUCGACCAUCAAUCCCCCAUCCCCUGACGUUGUCUCUGGUACAACAAUGCCCUUCAUGCCUCUGUCAUGAUGGCAUCUAGGACCUUCCUUACACCAAACCCAUCAGGGAAGAGACAUGCGUCAAUGUCUUCCUACGCAAUCUCCACUAUGUAAUGGCACCUAGGCAAGACAUCUUCAACAUGAUCUAGCUGUGUCUGCUACUCCUCUAGUAUCUCCUGAUGAACUGGUCUCGAUGGAUCUCUUGGAGUAGCAUGAACCAUGUACAAAUGUGACACCCUGAAGAACCAUAUGAUGUACCCUUCGACGUAGUUCCAAUCACUCUCAGCGAUGGUAGCCCGUGCCUCUUCCGAUACCGGAUGACUCUCAUAAUCAUCCAACAUGUCCUUUAUAUGUCUAUGUGUCAAGGCAGGAGGAGAAGAGACAACAUGAUGUCUGAGAAUGGUCUGAGUGUAGCCGAACUUCCGCAUGACACGCUCGGGCAGAUGAGGAGCAAUGAGACCCGAUUAACAUGUCAAUCAUCCAGAGUAUAGCAUUAUCUCGUAAAAUGGUCGCGUCUCACAGUGAUCAACAUAAUUGUUGAAGUGCAUGUCCUCAAUAAUCAGACGAUCAAGAUAGACUCUAUAAGGAUCGGUCGCCAGGUUCCUUCUAAAAUUUGUCAAAAAUAAUCAUUGUCAGAAAUUUUUCAAUUAAAAUUAACGUUAAAAACAUAAUGAAUCCAACUAAUCCUACCUCUCAGUCUCAGAUAUGUCUGACAAUAUGGUCUGAAUACAUAUACAAUAAUGACAAAUCAAAUGGGCCUCCUCCAAAUGCCUCUAGCUCAGCACGCGCAGCAGCCUCACCCUCAGGAGGUGGCACUAGAUCAACAACAUCAAUGGUAGGAGGGUGGACUGGAUCAACAUCAUUUAUAGUAGGAGGUGACAUUGGAUCAGCAACAUCCUAGGGGAAGAAGAAGAUGAAGUGGAAUGAGGAGAAGCACGAGCCCAAGAAAUGGAUGACUUUGCCUGACCAGAGGGACCAAGAGCCUCCGGAACCUACUUACUUUUCGCCUGCCACGCAGAUGUGUGAUGAUCAACCCUCAUGUGCCCUAAUUUAUCAUGUCUAUACGCCAUUAUGAUUGUAAGUUAAAGUAAGGUAAACCAUUAGUCCGGGAAAACAACACAAGCAAGAAAAUCAAACAAAAAAAAUUGCAGAAAAUUCAGGAGAUGCAUCUCGGUAACCUAGUAAUCUAAAACGCUGAAAAAUUCUAGAGAUGCAUCUCCGAAAUUUCCUGCAACUCAGAAGUUACAUCAAUUGUGUCAAUGUACCCCAUGCAAUGUUAAAAAAACUUAUUUUGAUCAUAAUUUUCAGCCAACAAACAUCUAAUACAAUAUGUCUAAACUAUCUUAAAUUUUAUUUCUACUCAUUUCUAACUCUAAUAAUUGAUUUCUACUCAUUUACACAAAAACUCAAAAAUUUAUCGAAAAUUUAAAAAGUUGAUGUUUCAGAUGUUGUUUCUGAUGUUAGAGAUGAUGAUUGAGUUUUAAGUUGGUGCAGAGAAAAAUCUGAGAGAGUGUUGAAGAAGUGUUUUAAGUAAAAUAUGAAGUGAUGAAGCAGAAGGGUCUGACGCGAUUUAACCUCCAAAAUGUUAUGGAGAUGCAUCUCCUAAAUCUAGGGGCAUUCAUGUAUUUUUGUGUGGUGCGUAAGAAACAUAUGGGGUGCAUUAAAAAAUUGCCCAUUUAUAAGGUAAAUAAGAUUGGGCCUUCCUAGGCCUUUAGUCUAGGCCAGAACAAUUGUCCCCAAACUUACGAUGUCGAUAGGCGUAUGAUGUAUUCAAAAUUCGGUCAGGCGACUCCAUUCCCAUAUUCUUGCAAGGAGAAGUGGAAAAGUUCUGGCAACAUCCUCAUUAAAUGCUUAUCUAAUCAUUGAAACAUUUUGUUGAAAACCUUACGCCUGGAUCUAGGUGAACAUGUUAAGGAAUGACGCAUCUAUCUACACUAUUCGAGUGCACUUAAGUGCAUUUAUUUCCCCGAGGAGGCAUUUUGGGUUGUCGGAUCAUUGUUCUGACAUUAUCCCACAAUUUUGUAAUAUUUUCCCUCUCUUUAUAUAAACUUCCUUUUGGGUUUCUUUAGAACUUUUUGGUUUCCUUCUUCUUCUUUCUACCACUCUUGUGCUUUUCUUCUUCAUUACCCCUAGGUGAUUCUUGCUUCCAUUUGCUUCUCUGCCUGCUUGAGUCUUUGCAUUGUCAUUUUUCCUUUCUCAAACAAUUUCCUUCGCUCCAUAUCCUUCCUUCAGGUACCAUUUAUUUUUGGCCCUUCUUCUCUUUUCGUUGUUUUGUUAUGGAUGACCCAUGGGUUUUCCAUUGAAUAUAAAUGGAGACUGUGGGAGGGAUUCUGCCAUAUCGUCUUCUUAUGGGAACCCUAACAUUCCAGAUAAGAAGCAACUAAAAAUUAAUGGUCUCAUUCCUAAUUUGGCCAUUCUUAGCGAUAGUUUAGGAUUGAGGGAUGUUCUGUUGAGAGUGGAGGCGGCCCUCUUAGUCCUUCUGAUGAGAAUGAGGAGGGGAACUCACACACUCUAGUUUAUAUGGAGUCUGUUGCACGUGUAACUUCUUAUGUUCAUUAUUAUGAAGAAAUGAAAACCGUUCCCUAUCAUGAGAUAAGAACCCAUUAUUUUCUGAAACGUUUUCACUACUAGUGGUAGAGAACCCAUUUAGGAGGUAAUUCGGGAACAUCUACUUUUUAGGAAUAAUUAUCCAACUUUUGAAAUACGUUUUAUUUUAUGUGAGAGUUGAAACGACAUUAUCUUUCCUUUAGCACUUCAUCAGAACCUUGAAUAUUCUUUUGACGAGGCUUGAGAUAACUCUUCAAGAUAACUUCCAUCAUCAGAUAAACCAGUUGAUCAUACAUCUUUGCUGACUUCACCUGAUUAAGUUUGACAUAAGGUAUUUUCUUCCAUAUAUAGACAUAUAACUAGAUCUCCAAGCGCCACAAUCUUGAUCACCGCAACUUGAUUACCAAGCAUAUUAAUUUGAUCAUUGCACCAGAUGAUCUUUAGACACUUCAGCUACAACGCAACUUGAUAAUCUCAACAGAUGACACUUUGAUAUUCAAGCACCAUCACUUGAUAAAGACUUCUCUUAAGAGCACUACCAACAUUAAAACUUAACAAAUCACUGCAGACAUCAUACAUGUAAGCACAUAAAUCCAAAGUUUGGGGGGAAAAUAAUUAAAUUUCAAGAACAACAUUAAAGGAUUUUAAGUAUUUGCAAGCUCGAAUAUGAUCUUAUACCUUAUUUAUUUUUUAUCUUUUUAUGAUCAUUAGUUUAAGUGUGAGUAACUCGUAAACUAUUAAAUUGAUGCGCGCGCACACACACAUACACACACACACACACACACACACACACAACACACACAACACACAAUACACAACACACAACACACACACACACAACACACACGCACACACGCAACACACACACAUACACACACACACACACACACACACACAACACACACAACACACAAUACACAACACACAACACACACACACACAACACACACGCACACACGCACACACGCACGCACGCGCACACACACACACACACACACAAAUAUAGAUUAAGAAGCCUUUUAAUUUCCCUAAUAUAGAUUAAGAAGCCUUUUAAUUGAUUAGGCUCGAGUUUUGGUAUUUUCUUCCCUAAAAGCUAUGUAAUAGUAGAUUAGCAUCGCAGGCUAAUCGUGUAGGUAACAACUUUGGCCUAAAAUUCUUUCAUUUUUUGGCCAAUUUUGUUACUAUAUAGGCAGGACCAGUGUUUACUUUAAAACAACACAAGAAAUCUGAAAUAUUACUCUUCUCGCUUACUCAGUCUCUUCUGAGAAACUUUUUAAACACUUAUAAUCCUUUUACGUUGAGAGAGAAAAAUACUUAAGUAAGAGUUAUGCUUGUGUAAUUGACAUUUGAAUCAAAUUGAGUUAUAAUUUUAAAUCAAGAGUAUCAUUUUCUUGUAACAUUGAUAUUAUUAUAAAGAUUGCAAAUUGAAUGUGGGUAAAAGCCCGGUGUAAAAAGGUUAUGGGUUGAUCUUGUGAUAAAAACUUAAUCUGUUAGUGGAACUCCCAAAGAGAAAUCCUUAAGGACUAGAGUAGAUCGUGUGGUUUACGAUUGAACCAAUGUAAAUUUUGGUGUGCACUUUCCUUUGCCUUAUCUCUUUAUUUUCAUGUUAUUUACUUUUUUGCGCUUGAAUCUCUCCUUUAUCUCUUUUUAAAAAUUGAUCAAGUCAAAUCAAUUGUUUUUUGUUUUCUAAAAGUAUUCAAAAACCUUUAUUAGCAUAAUUCACCCCUCUUAUAUUUGAAGUAUCUUGGUCAACAAGUGGAUUAAAGCCUAAUUCUUAUUAUAAGACUAAUCAUCAUAGGAGGUAGGAUGAUUUCAAAUGAUUCAUUAAAAACCCCUCAUAUUUUUAUGGCGGGGAGUAUGCUUAUUGGAAAGAGAAAAUACAAAUCCUUAUAGAGGAGAUGGAUUGUGAUAUAUGGAUUGCUGUUAAAAAAGGUCCAUUUUCCCCACAUUAUGGCGGGGAGUAUGCUUAUUGGAAAGAGAAAAUACAAAUCCUUAUAGAGGAGAUGGAUUGUGAUAUAUGGAUUGCUGUUAAAAAAGGUCCAUUUUCCCCACACAACAAGUUAAUGAUGUUAUGGAAAACAAAUUUAGAGAUCUUUGAACCAAAGAACAUAACGGAAAGGUGUAGUACAAUUUGAAAGCUAAAACUAUUACCACUAAUGCUCUUGGUAUUGAUGAGUUUUUCGUGUUUCUCAUUGUAAUUAGGAAAAAGAAAUAUGGUACACCAUUCAAGUUACCCAUGAAUGUAUGACCGAGGUGGAAAAGGCUAGAAAGAACAUAUUGGCCCAUGCAUAUGAAUUCUUUAGGGUGAAACCUGAAGAAAAUAUCCCGGAUAUGAAAAAGUAGUGUAUUCACAUUAUUAAUCACUUAAGAACUUUAUGUAAGAAUUUCAAAAUAAGGAUUUAAUUAACAAAGUCCUUAGACACCUAAACCACAGUUGGAAACUUAAAAUCAAUUCGAUUUCUAAACCCGAAGACUUGUCUUCUAUGAAUUUGGCUACUUUUUUUUGGAAAAUUACAAAAGUAUGUGAUUGAGCUAAAAAGGAUUGUUGAAAAUGAAGAAAGCGACAAGAAAAAGAAAAGCAUUGCACUCAUAGUUGAAGAAACCAAAUAAUCAGAAAACUCUGAAGUUAUGAAUCUCUUAGUCUACAAGUCCAAAAAGAUCAUAAGGCACAAGAAACAACCUCAAAAUUUCCAACAUAAAACUAAAGAAAUAUGUUCGUUAUUGCGAACAUGCUUCCACGCACUGUGGAAAGAUAGACCACAAAAAGUCAAACUGCCUCAAAGCCACGAACGAGUUAAAAGAUACAAAAUACCUCAAAAUAAAGAAAGAAGGCAUACAUAGCAUGUGAUGAUAAUGAUAUGGACUCCUCCGAGGAAUAUUAAAAAGAGGAAGAAGCCAACAUAUUUCUCAUGGAUAAUUACGAAAAAAAUGAGGUAAAUGAUCUAACUUCUAAAUGUACUUAUUUCGAGCUCUUCCUUAUCUGUAAAUAGCUAAAUAGUGAGUCAAGCAAAUUAAAAUAAAUUGUUUGUGUUUCUAAAGUAACUAUAUCUUCUCCUGAAAAUAAAAUUUAAAAUUUCGUAGAGGAAAUAGACUACCUUAGAUAAAAAUAUACUUUUUUAAUUCGUGUCACUCCUAAAACUAUUGAUAAAUCUGUCAAGUGUGUGAAAUACAGUGUUUUAGAAAAUAAAAUCAAAGAUUUGCAUAACACACUUUAUAAACUUACCAAAAAGAGACAACUUGAACCUCAUUUUCGGCUAUUAAAGAGGAACAUAUAACAAAGUUGGUUUAGGAUACCACCCAACCUAAAAUUAAUGCUAAAACCUUUAAAAUAAUUCUUCAAUGCUAGUAAGACUCAUAAAUUUAAUAUGUCAAAAUGUAAUUAUAGUGGUAAAAAUAAUGUGUUUCUUGAUACUUCUCGUUAUUUAUCAUAUUAAAUGUGUGAUUUAAUAUAAUUUUAAAUGUUAGAAGAACCUACUUGAUCACACACAUAAGAACAAAUUGAUGAGAGAUUAAAUAAAUAAGUAAACUUUAUUCAACUUGCAGCCCACACAAGUGGUUCUAUAAAUAAAACUUUUGUGAUGAAGUAUAUAAGCUUGAUCAAAUUUGUUUAAGAAAUACUAAUUUUACGGAAACCAAAAACACCUCUCUCUCUCUCUCUCGUCAUCUCCUCUUCCUCUCUCAUCUCUCGUGGCGUCGGUCGUGUGUGCGUGUCUCCUCUCUCUCUCUUCUCCUCUCCUCCUUCUCUCUCCUCUCUCUCUCUCUCUCUCUCAUCUCUCUCUCUCUCUCUCUCUCUCACUCUCUCUCUCUCUCUCUCUCUCUCUCUCUCUCUCUCUCUCUCUCUCUCUCUCUUCUCUCUCUCUCUCUCUCUCUCUCUCUCUCUCUCUCUCCUCUUCUCUCUCUCUCUGCUCUUUCUCUCUUUAUAUAUAGAUAUAUAAUAUAUUAUAUAUAUAUAUAUAAUAUAUAUAUAUAUAUAUAUUAUAUUAUAUAUAUAUAAUAUAUAUAUAUAUAAUUAUUAUAUAUAUAUAUAUAUAUAUAUAUAUAUAUAUAAUAUAUAUAUAUAUUAUAUAUAUUAUAUAUAUAUAUAUGGCCGGCCCAAUAUUAUCAAAGGUGCCGUUCUAAUUACAAAAAUGGCCAAUUUUUUAAAACAUAAUUAUAAUAAUAAAAAAAAUAUAUCAAAAAUAUUAUAUAUAAUUAAAAAUAAAUUUAAUUAUAAUUAUUUUGAUUUUGAUCAAUCUUGAUUUUUAUUAUUGAAUUUUUAUCAUAAUAUUUUUUUCAAUUAUUGAGUGUUUUAAUAACAUUUAAUAUUUAUUAAUAUUUAUGAAAAAAAAUCAAAAAUUUCAAAAAUUGGAUCCUCUAAUAGUGGGGCCUUGCGACUGCAACACAUGCACAGGGCCGACUCUCACAAUACUAGCUGAUUUGAAGAAUAGAUAUAUUAUAUUAUAUAUAUAUAUAUAUAAUAUUAUAUAUAUAUAUAUAUAUAUAUUAUAUAUUAUAUAUAUUAUAUAUAUAUAUAGUAUAUAUAUUAUAAUUUAUAUAUAUAUAUAUAUUUAUACUUAUAUAUACUAUAUUAAUAUUUAUUAUAUAUAAUAUAUGAUUCUUCAAAUCAGCUAGCAUUGUGAGAGAACAUAUUUUAUUUGUAUGGGAUGAGUAUAAAGUAUAUUGUUAGUAGAGUGCUUAGGAUCACUCUCAGAACUCUACUUGAAAGGUUUAUCACUACGAGAGAUAAUCAUUCGAUCGUUGAUCAUGAUCAUUCGUAAAGAUUCAUUAAUGAAAAAUCAUUUGUUUAUCCGCUGCAUUUUUUCUUAAUUUAUCUUCAAAAACAACAUAAGAGAAAAUUUUGAUUGUCUAACAUUUGUUGUAUGUUAGAAUUUUUUUUUAAUACAUUCAAGAUAAUCUAUCAUAUCCAAAAAUAAUAAAGUUCUACAAAAUUGAAGAGGAUGUGUUUUGAAUUUCGUUUAACUAAUGUUCGAUAGUAAAGCAAUUACAUGAAAAGAGAAGCCUAGAAUCAACAAAUUCGAUGAAGAAAGAUAGAAGGAUCAUUUUUAAGUACAAGGACAAAGAGUGUAUCUUGUACAACCAUAAGAGCACUUGAAAGAUUUUGGUCGGAAGAACCAUCAUUUUCCUAAAGAAGGUAAAAAAGUAGUUGGAUAAGAAAGAAUAUAUCUAAAUAAUACAAUAAAAAAGGAUAAUUUGGAUAAGAAAAAACUUGUGUAAAAAUUACGAUUAAAAUAGGGUGCUUGGAUGAAAAUCUCGAUAAUAAAGACUAAUUAGGCAAGGUGAUCUCUAAAUAAAUAAUAAAAUCUUAAUGAACAUUGAUCCCCAUCAAACAUUUUUCCAUCAAUGUGUAAAUAUGAAUAAAGAAAACAAAAUUUCAACCUACCAAUUAUGUAGCCAGACCUAAUUUCCAUAUAAAAAUGUUAGGUCACGAACAUUACAUCCCAAGUUCUAGAAAUUAAGGUAAGUUAUAGUUAGAAAGUUGCAAACAAGAAAAUUAUAUAAAUAUAGUAACUUUAUUUCACUCUAUAUAUAGAUGUAGUUACACAUUACACACAUCGCAUAAAUAAAAUAAAAUAAAAUAAAAUAAAAAAGAACCAACCACAUUAAAUUAUUUCUCAACAACCUUAAAACCAAAGCAUUUGAUUCCUAAUGUUUAAUUUCUUCCAUGUGAUUAGCAGCAUAUUGAUUAAUGAGUGAAAGAGCAUUACUAGUAAAUUGAGCAAUAUUAGCCAUUCUAGAUAUAAUAGAGGCUUUGAUUAUUCCAUCAAGUGAUUUUCCACUAAAUCCAUCUCCACAAGUGGUUUCAUCAGUCAAAGCUGAGCUAACCCAUGUCUCCACAUUGCUUAUAUGCCAAUUGAAAUCUUGACCAUUGAUCUUGCAAAGUUUAAGCUCUUUCAAUGAACGGCUAAGCCUAUCAACACUAUCACUGAUUUCUUCAGCACAAUCACGAAGAGCAGCAUAUUCUCUUUGUUUAAGAUUUUUGAAUGUAUUGCACAUUGUAACAAAGCCUUUUGUGGUUUGAGUUUUGUUGAGGCUAAGUGAUAAAGCUGUUUCGGCUAAUUGGUGUGGAUCUUGUUGGAUUAUUGUUGCAUAGACAGAAAGAGAUUCAAGACAAAGUGUUGGGUAUGGUGUUGUGCUACAUGAGGAUUUGAUGAAACUUGUUGGUGUUGGUGUUGAUGUUGCCAUUGAGAGUAGAGUUAGGAGAAGGAACAGAAGGGUAAACUUCGCCAUGUUGGUUUUGAAGGUU